RNAcentral lists this long non-coding RNA (491 nucleotides) under Prunus dulcis (almond). RNAcentral describes it as "sRNA ncRNA". Lineage: Eukaryota; Viridiplantae; Streptophyta; Magnoliopsida; Rosales; Rosaceae. The record is from RNAcentral.
AGCAGUUCCACCAAAACCCCCAAAUUAGAACCCUAGGUUUGCAAUGUCGGAGAUUUCAAUGUCAGAGAUUUCAACGACAUGAAGUAGGACGAGUCGGUACUGCGCCUGUGGGACGAAGAUAAUUCGUCGGACUUCGUGGACAGAUUUGAACCCAUGAAGAAGGUUCGAUGCUUGUGAUAAAAAUUGGGUAAGUUAUUAUUUGGGUUGCAAAAGUUGUUCUUUUUCAUUUGUAAUUGCUUGAUGAGGUCUGAAAUUGGGUAAGAUUUGAUUUGCCAGAAUAGUAGAAGAGGUGUGCAUUAUUUCGAGUGGGUGGAUAAUGAAACUUGUCCAAGAGGAAAACAAGUGGUCCCUGGUUUGCUUAGAAGACUAAGAGCAAUGGAAGAGGAAGGUAGAGCAAAGGAAGAACAAUUGAGAGCUGUGGAAGCAAAAAAGAAAGAACUACAGCAGAAAUUGAAAGAAAUGGUUCAGGAAAAAAAGGUUUUGGAAUGGGG